UGGGAUCAGUGGCGAACGGGUGAGUAACACGUGAGCAACCUGCCCCUGACUCUGGGAUAAGCGCUGGAAACGGCGUCUAAUACUGGAUAUGUGACGUGACCGCAUGGUCUGCGUCUGGAAAGAAUUUCGGUUGGGGAUGGGCUCGCGGCCUAUCAGCUUGUUGGUGAGGUAAUGGCUCACCAAGGCGUCGACGGGUAGCCGGCCUGAGAGGGUGACCGGCCACACUGGGACUGAGACACGGCCCAGACUCCUACGGGAGGCAGCAGUGGGGAAUAUUGCACAAUGGGCGCAAGCCUGAUGCAGCAACGCCGCGUGAGGGACGACGGCCUUCGGGUUGUAAACCUCUUUUAGCAGGGAAGAAGCGAAAGUGACGGUACCUGCAGAAAAAGCGCCGGCUAACUACGUGCCAGCAGCCGCGGUAAUACGUAGGGCGCAAGCGUUAUCCGGAAUUAUUGGGCGUAAAGAGCUCGUAGGCGGUUUGUCGCGUCUGCUGUGAAAUCCGGAGGCUCAACCUCCGGCCUGCAGUGGGUACGGGCAGACUAGAGUGCGGUAGGGGAGAUUGGAAUUCCUGGUGUAGCGGUGGAAUGCGCAGAUAUCAGGAGGAACACCGAUGGCGAAGGCAGAUCUCUGGGCCGUAACUGACGCUGAGGAGCGAAAGGGUGGGGAGCAAACAGGCUUAGAUACCCUGGUAGUCCACCCCGUAAACGUUGGGAACUAGUUGUGGGGUCCAUUCCACGGAUUCCGUGACGCAGCUAACGCAUUAAGUUCCCCGCCUGGGGAGUACGGCCGCAAGGCUAAAACUCAAAGGAAUUGACGGGGACCCGCACAAGCGGCGGAGCAUGCGGAUUAAUUCGAUGCAACGCGAAGAACCUUACCAAGGCUUGACAUAUACGAGAACGGGCCAGAAAUGGUCAACUCUUUGGACACUCGUAAACAGGUGGUGCAUGGUUGUCGUCAGCUCGUGUCGUGAGAUGUUGGGUUAAGUCCCGCAACGAGCGCAACCCUCGUUCUAUGUUGCCAGCACGUAAUGGUGGGAACUCAUGGGAUACUGCCGGGGUCAACUCGGAGGAAGGUGGGGAUGACGUCAAAUCAUCAUGCCCCUUAUGUCUUGGGCUUCACGCAUGCUACAAUGGCCGGUACAAAGGGCUGCAAUACCGCGAGGUGGAGCGAAUCCCAAAAAGCCGGUCCCAGUUCGGAUUGAGGUCUGCAACUCGACCUCAUGAAGUCGGAGUCGCUAGUAAUCGCAGAUCAGCAACGCUGCGGUGAAUACGUUCCCGGGUCUUGUACACACCGCCCGUCAAGUCAUGAAAGUCGGUAACACCUGAAGCCGG
This 1331-nucleotide ribosomal RNA is filed under the name Microbacterium oxydans. RNAcentral's name for it is "bacterial SSU rRNA". It matches the Rfam family "Bacterial small subunit ribosomal RNA", at positions 87 to 1430 of the family's 1533-position model. Lineage: Bacteria; Bacillati; Actinomycetota; Actinomycetes; Micrococcales; Microbacteriaceae. The record is from RNAcentral.